This 433-nucleotide ribosomal RNA is filed under the name uncultured bacterium. RNAcentral's name for it is "partial 16S ribosomal RNA". It matches the Rfam family "Bacterial small subunit ribosomal RNA", at positions 29 to 507 of the family's 1533-position model. The record is from RNAcentral.
AACGAACGCUGGCGGCAUGCCUAACACAUGCAAGUCGAACGAGACCUUCGGGUCUAGUGGCGCACGGGUGCGUAACGCGUGGGAACCUGCCCUUAGGUUCGGAAUAACUCCCCGAAAGGGGUGCUAAUACCGGAUAAUGUCUUCGGACCAAAGAUUUAUCGCCUUUGGAUGGGCCCGCGUUGGAUUAGCUAGUUGGUAGGGUAAAAGCCUACCAAGGCGACGAUCCAUAGCUGGUCUGAGAGGAUGAUCAGCCACACAGGGACUGAGACACGGCCCAGGCUCCUACGGGAGGCAGCAGUGGGGAAUAUUGGACAAUGGGCGAAAGCCUGAUCCAGCAAUGCCGCGUGAGUGAUGAAGGCCUUAGGGUUGUAAAGCUCUUUUACCCGGGAUGAUAAUGACAGUACCGGGAGAAUAAGCUCCGGCUAACUCCGUG